Long non-coding RNA from Neopsephotus bourkii (Bourke's parrot), 616 nucleotides. RefSeq lists it as uncharacterized. NCBI's taxonomy places the organism in Eukaryota, Metazoa, Chordata, Aves, Psittaciformes, Psittacidae. The transcript has 3 exons. The record is from RefSeq and is a predicted model, not a curated record.
GACAUACAGAGACAUAAACAUUUUUGAAAUUCAGAAUUAGUAACAGUGGAAACUGUGUCUUAAAAACCAGUGAUGACUCCUAGCUAUUGCACAUCUUCACAGGGAAAAACGUGCUCUGGGUGGGAUGAUUAACUGGAAUAGACUGUUUCCUCCUUUGCGACAUAGACAUAAUGCAAAUUAUCAAGAUCAUCGCCCGUCUGAACAAGAUACGCCUCCACCUACUGAGGUUUCUGAAGAGCAGGUUGCACGACUUAUGGAAAUGGGGUUUUCGAGGGGAGAUGCUCUAGAAGCUCUGAGGGCUUCAAAUAAUGACUUAAAUGUAGCCACUAAUUUUCUGCUGCAGCACUGAUGGUUUUUCGUGUGAAGGAACUUCCCUCGAAGGGUUUGUACACAUCUGGAAGAGGAUCAAAGCCACCUGCUGGACAGACUCGCGAAGGUCGUCCCCGCACGAGCGUUGGAGAAGAGAAACUGGCUCCACGUGACUGGUGAUUCAAAGCAGUGCUAAUGAAUGACGUGAACUGUUCCCAAGCCUUCACAUCACUCGGUGGUUUCUAGUCUGGUUGUGCUUUUCCAAGUAACUUUAGUUUCUAAUUAUGACUGGAUAUCACCUAAAUUU